This 715-nucleotide ribosomal RNA is filed under the name uncultured bacterium. RNAcentral describes it as "bacterial SSU rRNA". It matches the Rfam family "Bacterial small subunit ribosomal RNA", at positions 93 to 846 of the family's 1533-position model. The record is from RNAcentral.
UAGUGGCGCACGGGUGAGUAACGCGUGGGAACGUACCCUUAGAUACGGGACAACAUCGGGAAACUGAUGCUAAUACCGUAUAAUGUCUUCGGACCAAAGAUUUAUCGUCUAAGGAUCGGCCCGCGUUAGAUUAGGUAGUUGGUGAGGUAAAGGCUCACCAAGCCGACGAUCUAUAGCUGGUCUGAGAGGAUGAUCAGCCACACUGGGACUGAGACACGGCCCAGACUCCUACGGGAGGCAGCAGUGAGGAAUAUUGGACAAUGGAGGAAACUCUGAUCCAGCCAUGCCGCGUGAGUGAAGAAGGCCUUCGGGUUGUAAAGCUCUUUUGUCCCUGACGAUAAUGACGGUAGGGGAAGAAAAAGCCACGGCUAACUUCGUGCCAGCAGCCGCGGUAAUACGAAGGUGGCAAGCGUUGUUCGGAUUUACUGGGCGUAAAGAGUGCGUAGGCGGUUUGAUAAGUCAGAAGUGAAAGCCCAGGGCUCAACCUUGGAAUUGCUUUUGAAACUAUCUUACUUGAAUCCGGUAGAGGUUGGCGGAAUUCUCAGUGUAGAGGUGAAAUUCGCAGAUAUUGAGAGGAACACCAGUGGCGUAAGCGGCCAACUGGACCGGUAUUGACGCUGAGGCACGAAAGCAUGGGGAGCAAACAGGAUUAGAUACCCUGGUAGUCCAUGCCAUAAACGAUGUGUGCUAGUUAUUAGAGAUUCAUCUUUGGUGA